RNAcentral lists this long non-coding RNA (1386 nucleotides) under Felis catus (domestic cat). Its description in RNAcentral is "lncRNA (ENSFCAG00000048748.1)". Lineage: Eukaryota; Metazoa; Chordata; Mammalia; Carnivora; Felidae. The record is from RNAcentral.
AGUGGAAGCUGUGUCAAUAACAGGCAGGAAGCACAGCGCCCCUAAAUUCAACUGCCCUGAACUGGCUGCCUGUCCCUAGCAGAGAUUUCAGAAUGGUCUUCUCAGAAUAAUAUUUCAAUUUCACUCAACCCUAUGACAUUUGAUGACAACAUUAACAGAAAAUUAGUGAUGAAUUCAUGUCUGCAUUCCAAAGUACCUGGCUGAAUUUACUGCGUAAAAAAGAAAGAAAAGAAAAGAAAAAAAAAGAAAAAAAAGCAGCUGAACGGAUACAUCAUUGAAAACCAGCAACUGUUGAUUGACAGAAUUUUUUCCCAUUCCUUAAGGCGAUCAAGUGCAGCGCCCAGUCUAAAAAUGCCUCAGAGACGUGCCAUCCAAUGACUUGGACCUUUGAGCUCAGGGGAUUGUGAUAGAAUUAAGUCUGACUCAACAAAUGAGGUCACUGGGAAGAAGCGCUGGCGUUAAAUUUACCGUUAAUGCCAGGGUCAAUUUACUAAACAGUCAUCUGCUUGUGGUUCCAGAAGUCCUCUGGGUAAAUUCCAGAGACUGCCAGGGCUGGAGAUAGCUUGCUCAUGAAGUCACCGAUUCUUGGUCAAUGCGACGUUUGGUGACCAUCUUUUAGUCCCCCAGAAAGUAUUUCCAGAGACGGGAUGCCAUUUCGUUGCCCAGAAGAGAGCUGGGGAAAUGGACAGAGGAAGGGAAGCUAUGGACUCUUCUCCCCAGACCUCCAUGAUAGACUUGUCAUUAUGAGCUAUGAGGAGGUAUGUUCUGAGGAUGUGCUCUGCGUUCUGCAGCUCUUCUCUGGGCCUGGGAGCCCUGCACAAGGAGAGACCAAGCCCUCCAGGUGUGUGCUGGCCAGGAGGGUGGCUACUGAGCCCCGAAAAUGCCGUUAAAUCCCAACUGGGAUGUGCUGGGAGUGUAAGAUACACCCUGAAUUCCCAAGAUUUAGGAAGGAAAAAAGCAUGCAAAGUAGCCUGUACUUUAUGUUGAUCACAUACUGAGAUUAUAUAUCUUUUGGGUAUAUUGAGUUAAAGAAAAAAUGUUAUUAAAAUUGUAUUUCUUGUCUCUUCUUAUUUUUUUAGACAUGGCCGCUAAAACGUGUAAAAUCACAUAUGUGGCUCAGGUUUGUGGCUCGCAUUAUAUUUCUAAGGGUCCGCAUAGCUCUAGAUGGAAAGAGACUCUAGGGGUGCCUGGGUGGCUCAGUCAGUUAAGCGUCUGGCUUGGGCUCAGGUCGUGAUCUUGAGGUUCGUGAGCUCGAGCCCCGCAUCCGGCUCUGUGCCGACAGCUUGGAGCCUCCUUGGGAUCCUCUGUCACCCUCUCUCUCUGCACCUCCCCCACUCACUCUUUCUCAAAAAUAAAUAAAUGUGAAAAAAAAUGUUUAAUGGAAAG